RNAcentral lists this ribosomal RNA (496 nucleotides) under uncultured bacterium. Its description in RNAcentral is "partial 16S ribosomal RNA". It matches the Rfam family "Bacterial small subunit ribosomal RNA", at positions 29 to 507 of the family's 1533-position model. The record is from RNAcentral.
AUGAACGCUGGCGGCGUGCCUAAUCCAUGCCAGUCGAGCGAACAGACGAGGAGCUUGCUCCUCUGACGUUAGCGGCGGACGGGUGAGUAACACGUGGAUAACCUACCUAUAAGACUGGGAUAACUUCGGGAAACCGGAGCUAAUACCGGAUAACAUGUUGAACCGCAUGGUUCAACAGUGAAAGACGGUCUUGCUGUCACUUAUAGAUGGAUCCGCGCCGCAUUAGCUAGUUGGUAAGGUAACGGCUUACCAAGGCAACGAUGCGUAGCCGACCUGAGAGGGUGAUCGGCCACACUGGAACUGAGACACGGUCCAGACUCCUACGGGAGGCAGCAGUAGGGAAUCUUCCGCAAUGGGCGAAAGCCUGACGGAGCAACGCCGCGUGAGUGAAGAAGGUCUUCGGAUCGUAAAACUCUGUUAUUAGGGAAGAACAAAUGUGUAAGUAACUAUGCACGUCUUGACGGUACCUAAUCAGAAAGCCACGGCUAACUACGUG